UUUAAAGAGAGUUUGAUCCUGGCUCAGGACGAACGCUGGCGGCGUGCCUAAUACAUGCAAGUCGAACGAACGGAGGAAGAGCUUGCUCUUCCAAAGUUAGUGGCGGACGGGUGAGUAACACGUGGGCAACCUGCCUGUAAGUUGGGGAUAACUCCGGGAAACCGGGGCUAA
This 171-nucleotide ribosomal RNA is filed under the name Listeria monocytogenes. RNAcentral describes it as "partial 16S ribosomal RNA". It matches the Rfam family "Bacterial small subunit ribosomal RNA", at positions 1 to 166 of the family's 1533-position model. Lineage: Bacteria; Bacillati; Bacillota; Bacilli; Caryophanales; Listeriaceae. The record is from RNAcentral.